GAACUUCAGCAGCACAUAUAUUAAAAUUGGAACUACACAGAGAAGAUUAGCAUGGCCCAUGUGAAAGGAUGACAAGCAAAUUCAUGAAGUGUUCCAUAUUUUG
This 103-nucleotide small nuclear RNA is filed under the name Tyto alba (common barn owl). Lineage: Eukaryota; Metazoa; Chordata; Aves; Strigiformes; Tytonidae. The record is from RNAcentral.